This 254-nucleotide ribosomal RNA is filed under the name uncultured bacterium. RNAcentral describes it as "partial 16S ribosomal RNA". It matches the Rfam family "Bacterial small subunit ribosomal RNA", at positions 524 to 776 of the family's 1533-position model. The record is from RNAcentral.
UACGUAGGGGGCUAGCGUUGUCCGGAAUCAUUGGGCGUAAAGGGCGCGUAGGUGGCCCGGUCAGUUCGUGGUGAAAGCGCGGGGCUCAACCCUGCGUCGGCCAUGAAUACUGCCGCGGCUGGAGCACUGUAGAGGCAGGCGGAAUUCCGGGUGUAGCGGUGGAAUGCGUAGAGAUCCGGAAGAACACCGGUGGCGAAGGCGGCCUGCUGGGCAGUUGCUGACACUGAGGCGCGACAGCGUGGGGAGCAAACAGG